AUACCAUGAUGUGGACACUUCCUUAACAAUUCUUUAAAUCUUUUCCAUGCAUCAUACAAUGAUUCCCCUUCUGUCUGGUAGAAAUUAUUGAUUUUCCCUCUCAACUU
This is a small nucleolar RNA of Humulus lupulus (European hop), 107 nucleotides long. The record is from RefSeq and is a predicted model, not a curated record. Lineage: Eukaryota; Viridiplantae; Streptophyta; Magnoliopsida; Rosales; Cannabaceae.